Long non-coding RNA from Lolium rigidum, 794 nucleotides. RefSeq lists it as uncharacterized. NCBI's taxonomy places the organism in Eukaryota, Viridiplantae, Streptophyta, Magnoliopsida, Poales, Poaceae. The record is from RefSeq and is a predicted model, not a curated record. The transcript has 3 exons.
UAUAUGAGUAUACACUAUAUCAUAAAGACCAACGAAUCUCACGGAUCUUUUGGGUAGUCUACUUAAAGCUCCAUUACUAAAUAUGGCUAGUUGCACGUGAGAUAACUGAACCAAAAUUUGGCGUGCGAUAUUGCUUCACUGUAUUUGGCAGCACUCUAGUUUUUCUUGCCAAAUCUUGACAAACCUGCAGAGAGCAGUGUCAUCAGUCUUUUGAUGCAAGCUCAUAGGAAGGAAUCAUCCAGUGGUCACAAGGAAUGCAUGAGGUAUGGUCCGGUGCUGCCACAAACGGUAGAACUUGAUUCUGGAGAAUUGGAAAAGGUUUUAGAUCCUAUGCAUGAGGUGCACCGAAGAAAAGGCUGAAGCCAAAGAAGCAUAAAAGAUUGAACACAAAAUACUGCUAUUGCAGGGUGGAGGGUCACAAUCGGCAUAAAUGCGCCAAGUGGAUAGAGGACAACAAGCUGACAGAACCUUAUUAACUACAGCUCUCUUAACAUAUGUGAAGUAAUCAUCCAGGAUUAUACAAAAAUGCCUAAUACAUAUGUGAAGGAAUGCAUGAGGUAUGGUCCAGUGCUGCGACAAGCUUUGUCUUAGUUCCCUGUUGGCUGUAUCCAUUGUCAGCUGAAGCAAACGGCUCUGGGCGAAUGGCUGUGUUGGUGCUACAACGGCGGGCUACUCUGUUGCUAUCUUGGAGUACCUGACUGCUGAAGUUCUGGAGCUGGCUGGGAACGCAAGCAAGGAUCUGAAGGUGAAGCGUAUCACCCAUCACCAUCUUCAGCUGGCCAUCCAUGGAGAUG